This 396-nucleotide ribosomal RNA is filed under the name uncultured Hydrogenophilaceae bacterium. RNAcentral's name for it is "bacterial SSU rRNA". It matches the Rfam family "Bacterial small subunit ribosomal RNA", at positions 65 to 461 of the family's 1533-position model. The record is from RNAcentral. Lineage: Bacteria; Pseudomonadati; Pseudomonadota; Hydrogenophilia; Hydrogenophilales; Hydrogenophilaceae.
AACGGCAGCAUAGGAGCUUGCUCCUGGUGGCGAGUGGCGAACGGGUGAGUAAUACGUAGGAACAUAUCCAGUAAUGGGGGAUAACGCAUCGAAAGGUGUGCUAAUACCGCAUACGUCCUGAGGGAGAAAGUGGGGGAUCGCAAGACCUCACGUUAUUGGAGUGGCCUACGCCUGAUUAGCUAGUUGGUGAGGUAAAGGCUCACCAAGGCGACGAUCAGUAGCUGGUCUGAGAGGAUGAUCAGCCACACUGGGACUGAGACACGGCCCAGACUCCUACGGGAGGCAGCAGUGGGGAAUUUUGGACAAUGGGCGCAAGCCUGAUCCAGCCAUUCCGCGUGAGUGAAGAAGGCCUUCGGGUUGUAAAGCUCUUUCAGCAGGGAAGAAACGGUUUUGGCU